RNAcentral lists this unclassified non-coding RNA (287 nucleotides) under fungal sp. RNAcentral describes it as "partial internal transcribed spacer region". The stretch from base 1 to 46 matches the Rfam family "Eukaryotic small subunit ribosomal RNA", at positions 1786 to 1831 of the family's 1831-position model. The record is from RNAcentral. Lineage: Eukaryota; Fungi.
AAGUCGUAACAAGGUUUCCGUAGGUGAACCUGCGGAAGGAUCAUUAUUAUUUGGUUUGGGUUUACUUUUCAAAAAUUGGUCCUUUAAAUUUUUCAAAAAGUAAAUCUGCACCAAAUAACAAUUUUAACUACAGAUCAGAACAAGAUCAGAACGAAAUUGUUAUUUUUUCUCGCCCUUUUAUAGGGAGGAGCAAGAUGAAUUUAUUUAAAACCAUCCACUCUUAAAAAUAAAUAUAUCAUAUAUAUAAAAUAAAAAGAUCACUUUCAACAACGGAUCUCUUGGUUCUC